Molecule: long non-coding RNA, 344 nt
Filed under: Apteryx rowi (Okarito brown kiwi)
Lineage: Eukaryota; Metazoa; Chordata; Aves; Apterygiformes; Apterygidae
Description: lncRNA (ENSARWG00000001225.1)
Source: RNAcentral
CAGCAAGUGGAGCUCUACCGGGGCAGAAGAGCAGUGCAGCAGGACUCCCCCUUGUUAAGAUACUUAUACACAUGGAUAAGAGGAUAAGAUCGCUCCUGAGCCUUCUCUUCCUAUGGCUGAACACUUCCAGCUUUCAGCUGGCCCUCUCCAGCAGGUCCAUGUCGCUCUUGUACUGGGGAGCCCAGAACUGGACACAGCGCUCUAGAUGUGGUCUCACCAGGGCUGAGCAGAGGGGAAGGAUCACCUCCCUCCACCUGCUGGCAACAAUUUUCCUAAUGGAGCCCAGGAUGCUGUUGGCCUUCUUUGCCACAAGGGCACUUUGCUGGCUUACGGAACCUCCCUGA